AUACGAAGGGUGCAAGCGUUACUCGGAAUCACUGGGCGUAAAGCGCGCGCAGGCGGCUAUUUAAGUUGGAUGUGAAAGCCUACGGCUCAACCGUAGAACUGCAUCCAAAACUAUUUAGCUAGAGUGUGGGAGAGGAAGAUGGAAUUAGUUGUGUAGGGGUAAAAUCCGUAGAGAUAACUAGGAAUACCAAAAGCGAAGGCAAUCUUCUGGAACACUACUGACGCUGAGGCGCGAAAGCGUGGGGAGCAAACAGGAUUAGAAACCCGAGUAGUCC
This 274-nucleotide ribosomal RNA is filed under the name uncultured bacterium. RNAcentral describes it as "partial 16S ribosomal RNA". It matches the Rfam family "Bacterial small subunit ribosomal RNA", at positions 523 to 796 of the family's 1533-position model. The record is from RNAcentral.